CAAACAAACACUGAGUUCUGGACCUGAUGUUCAGCUCUGUAGUGGGACAGGUCUGAUCUCUGUGUUAGGGAGGUGAAGACCAACACUGUCAUUAACACAUUACACUCUAAUCUCACUGUGUUAGGGAGGUGAAGACCAACACUGUCAUUAACACAUUACACUCUAAUCUCACACUGUGUUAGGGAGGUGAAGACCAACACUGUCAUUAACACAUUACACUCUAAUCUCACUGUGUUAGGGAGGUGAAGACCAACACUGUCAUUAACACAUUACACUCUAAUCUCACACUGUGUUAGGGAGGUGAAGACCAACACUGUCAUUAACACAUUACACUCUAAUCUCACACUGUGUUAGGGAGGUGAAGACCAACACUGUCAUUAACACAUUACACUCUAAUCUCACUGUGUUAGGGAGGUGAAGACCAACACUGUCAUUAACACAUUACACUCUAAUCUCACUGUGUUAGGGAGGUGAAGACCAACACUGUCAUUAACACAUUACACUCUAAUCUCACUGUGUUAGGGAGGUGAAGACCAACACUGUCAUUAACACAUUACACUCUAAUCUCACUGUGUUAGGGAGGUGAAGACCAACACUGUCAUUAACACA
Molecule: long non-coding RNA, 609 nt
Organism: Tachysurus fulvidraco (yellow catfish)
Lineage: Eukaryota; Metazoa; Chordata; Actinopteri; Siluriformes; Bagridae
Exons: 3
Source: RefSeq, a predicted model, not a curated record